RNAcentral lists this long non-coding RNA (1870 nucleotides) under Papio anubis (olive baboon). RNAcentral describes it as "lncRNA (ENSPANG00000045401.1)". Lineage: Eukaryota; Metazoa; Chordata; Mammalia; Primates; Cercopithecidae. The record is from RNAcentral.
CACACCAAAUUCUCUACGCAACUAUUCACAUCAGAUUUAUUUAUAAUAGUCAAAAACUAGAAACAACUAGAAUGUCCUACAAUUGGUGAAUGGUUAAACAACUGUGAUACUUCCAUACCAUGGAACAGUAUUCAGCAAUGAAAAGCAACAAACUAUUGAUACACACAACUUAGGUGAAUCUUGAAGUUAUCCAGAAGGAAGAAAGCCAAAUCCAAAAGGUAGUAUACUUUAUGAUUCCAUUGAUAUAUAACAUUCCUUUUUUACUUUUAUUUUGUGGUUUUUCUUUGAGACAGGCUCUUGCUCUGUCAUCCAGGCUGGAGGGCAGUAGCAUGAUCAUGGCUCAUUGCAGCCUCAAAUUUCUGGGCUCAAGCAAUCCUCCCACCUCAGCCUCCUGAGUGACUGGUACCACAGGGACAUGCCACCACGCCCAGCUAACGUUUUUUUACUUUUUUAAAUAUAAAGUCUCCCUAUAUUGCCCAGGCUGGUCUCGAACUCAUAGGCUCAAAGUAUCCUCCCACCUCAGCUUCUCAAAGUGCUGAAAUUACAGACAUGAGCCACCAUGCCUAUACAACAUCCUUUUUUUGGGGGGUGGGGGAUGGAGUGUCACUUUGUCGCCCAGGCUGCAGUGCAGUGGCAUGGCACGAUCUGAGCUCACUACAACCUCUGCCUCCCAGGUUCAAGCCAUUCUCCUGCCUCAGCCUCCCGAGUAGCUGGGAUUACAGGCCCAGCUAAUUUUUGUGUUUUUAGGAGACACAGGGUUUCACUAUGUUGGACAGGCUGGUCUCAAACUCCUGACCUCCGGUGAGCCACCCGCCUCGGCCUCCCAAAGUGCUGGGAUUACAGGCGUGAGCAACCUCACCGGGCUAAAUUUGUAUUUUUCCUUGAUAGCUAUUUUGUCCCAGCUGCUCUCUCAAGAUUCAUAAAAGGAAAAACAUUGUAUAUUUCAUAUUGUGUACUCUUUUUCAGAACCCAGGAAUGCAAAUAUUUUUCUGUUCUCCAUCAUCAUGAGGGAAAAUAUCCUAAACAAAGUCUUGCUUUAGAAAACUGAAUACAAUGAGGAGACAUUUGUUCAUUCAUUCAUUCGAUAAUGGAGAAGUUUCUUUACAAACACUGCAAACGAAGUCAACGUUCUGAAUUUUAUGUCUUAUGGCCAUAGUUUUGUUUACUAUUCAUCACAUGUGAAUAAAACCAGCUAAAUGGAAUAGAACAUAUACAAUAUAAAAGUUCAUGAAAUAGCUAGUACUAAAUAGAAUAAACAUAGGAUUUUGUGUGGAAAUCUUCCUCAAAGUAGAAAACUGAUUAAAAGGAAGAAUUUCAAUGGAAAUUGCUAUAAUUAAUAAAUUGCUAAAGCUGUUUUCAGGUAAAUGUUAAUGAACUGAAAAGAACUAUUCUUAAAAUUAGCUAUCUGCCUUUCAACUUAUUCUUAGUCAAGGGUCUAAUAAAAUAUAAUCAGACAUUCUUUUCUAUUUCUUUUUUUCCCCCCACUUUUUAGAAAAGACAGGUUCUUGCUGUGUCACCCAGGCUAGAGUGCAGUGGCAUGAUCACACUUCACGGCAGCCUCAAAAUCCUGGGCUAAAAGCACCCUCCCACCUCAGCCUCCCAAGCAGCUAGGAUAGCUAUUCUCUAAACAUUUUUUUGCAGAGAUGGGGUCUCACUAUGUUGUCCAGGCUGGUCUCGGACUCCUGGUCUCAAGCAGUCCUCUCAUGUCAGCCUCCCAAACUGUAGGGUUUACACUGUGCCCAGCUGACAUUCUUUCUUAAUUAUCUAAUCACCUAUUCCCUUUCUCUUAUUUCCUCUAUCAAGAGAAAAAACAAUUAAUUUGUCUGCUUAGGUUUCUUCAUUUGUGCAAGUUUAAAAUAUAGCUUUGACA